This 255-nucleotide ribosomal RNA is filed under the name uncultured bacterium. RNAcentral's name for it is "partial 16S ribosomal RNA". It matches the Rfam family "Bacterial small subunit ribosomal RNA", at positions 524 to 776 of the family's 1533-position model. The record is from RNAcentral.
UACGGGGGGAGCAAGCGUUGUUCGGAUUUACUGGGCGUAAAGGGCGCGUAGGCGGUCGUGACAAGUCACUUGUGAAAUCUCCGGGCUUAACUCGGAACGGUCAAGUGAUACUGUCGGACUAGAGUACAGAAGGGGCAACUGGAAUUCUCGGGUGUAGCGGUGAAAUGCGUAGAUAUCGAGAGGAACACCUGCGGCGAAGGCGGGUUGCUGGGCUGACACUGACGCUGAGGCGCGAAAGCUAGGGGAGCGAACGGG